RNAcentral lists this long non-coding RNA (458 nucleotides) under Androctonus crassicauda. Lineage: Eukaryota; Metazoa; Arthropoda; Arachnida; Scorpiones; Buthidae. The record is from RNAcentral.
AAUUUUUAUAUUAAAUAUUCAUAAAAUUUUUAGAAAAUGUGCUUAACAUUUGAUAUUUUUGAUUCUCAAUUAUUGAAAGCAUAUCUUGAAUUGCUACUUUCUAAUAGUUUUAAUACAAGAGCUGUUCGGAAAGUAGGCAGAAGGCUGCACAUGCACAGCAUUAUAAAGUGAUUCAGUAGCUAUUUGAACAAUCAUGUUUUUAACUGACAACUAUUGAUCUGCAUCUUAUAACUAGUGAUUUAAAAUGAAUGUUGUCUUCAAAGUUCCUGUCAACUGUAAAAUGUAUGCAGUUAUUUGUUUAUUAUGCUAUUUCUAGGAUUUGUAGCACAAGGAAUCACAGUUCUGAAGUGUAUUGUAAGAAAACUACAAAAAUUUUGGAGGGCCAUUCAAAACAAGAGAUGUCAUAUGCUGACUUUCAAUGUUAUUUUCUGUACAAUGAUAUACACUAUCUACCAUGC